GAAUAGGGCGUUUAGUAUUUGGUCGUAGACCCGAAACCAGGUGAUCUACCCUUGGUCAGGUUGAAGUUCAGGUAACACUGAAUGGAGGACCGAACCGACUUACGUUGAAAAGUGAGCGGAUGAACUGAGGGUAGCGGAGAAAUUCCAAUCGAACCUGGAGAUAGCUGGUUCUCUCCGAAAUAGCUUUAGGGCUAGCCUCAAGUGAUGAUUAUUGGAGGUAGAGCACUGUUUGGACGAGGGGCCCCUCUCGGGUUACCGAAUUCAGACAAACUCCGAAUGCCAAUUAAUUUAACUUGGGAGUCAGAACAUGGGUGAUAAGGUCCGUGUUCGAAAGGGAAACAGCCCAGACCACCAGCUAAGGUCCCAAAAUAUAUGUUAAGUGGAAAAGGAUGUGGCGUUGCCCAGACAACUAGGAUGUUGGCUUAGA
RNAcentral lists this ribosomal RNA (427 nucleotides) under Staphylococcus aureus. Its description in RNAcentral is "partial 23S ribosomal RNA". It matches the Rfam family "Bacterial large subunit ribosomal RNA", at positions 685 to 1110 of the family's 2925-position model. The record is from RNAcentral. Lineage: Bacteria; Bacillati; Bacillota; Bacilli; Caryophanales; Staphylococcaceae.